AGGGUUUGAUUCUGGCUCAGGACGAACGCUGGCGGCGUGCUUAACACAUGCAAGUCGAGCGAUGAAGCUUCUUCGGAAGUGGAUUAGCGGCGGACGGGUGAGUAACACGUGGGUAACCUGCCUUAUAGUGGGGAAUAGCCUUUCGAAAGGAAGAUUAAUACCCCAUAAGAUUGUAGUUUCGCAUGAAACAGCAAUUAAAGGAGCAAUUCGCUAUAAGAUGGACCCGCGGCGCAUUAGCUAGUUGGUGAGGUAACGGCUCACCAAGGCGACGAUGCGUAGCCGACCUGAGAGGGUGAUCGGCCACAUUGGGACUGAGACACGGCCCAG
RNAcentral lists this ribosomal RNA (327 nucleotides) under uncultured bacterium. Its description in RNAcentral is "bacterial SSU rRNA". It matches the Rfam family "Bacterial small subunit ribosomal RNA", at positions 8 to 334 of the family's 1533-position model. The record is from RNAcentral.